GGUCCUAUAGCUCAGUUGGUUAGUAGCACUUGACUCAUAAUCAAGGGGUCCCUGGUUCAAGCCCAGGUGGGACCA
Molecule: transfer RNA, 75 nt
Filed under: Odoribacter sp. OttesenSCG-928-A06
Lineage: Bacteria; Pseudomonadati; Bacteroidota; Bacteroidia; Bacteroidales; Odoribacteraceae
Also listed under: 2 other names
Description: tRNA-Ile
Rfam family: tRNA
About the family: Transfer RNA (tRNA) molecules are approximately 80 nucleotides in length. Their secondary structure includes four short double-helical elements and three loops (D, anti-codon, and T loops). Further hydrogen bonds mediate the characteristic L-shaped molecular structure. tRNAs have two regions of fundamental functional importance: the anti-codon, which is responsible for specific mRNA codon recognition, and the 3' end, to which the tRNAs corresponding amino acid is attached (by aminoacyl-tRNA synthetases). tRNAs cope with the degeneracy of the genetic code in two manners: having more than one tRNA (with a specific anti-codon) for a particular amino acid; and 'wobble' base-pairing, i.e. permitting non-standard base-pairing at the 3rd anti-codon position.
Source: RNAcentral